Molecule: ribosomal RNA, 460 nt
Filed under: uncultured bacterium
Lineage: Bacteria
Description: partial 16S ribosomal RNA
Rfam family: Bacterial small subunit ribosomal RNA
Source: RNAcentral
CCUACGGGAGGCUGCAGUGAGGAAUAUUGGUCAAUGGGCGCAAGUCUGAACCAGCCAUGUCGCGUGCAGGAUGACGGCUCUAUGGGUUGUAAACUUCUUUUAUAAAAGAAUAAAGUGAAAUACGUGUAUUUAUUUGUAUGUACUUUAUGAAUAAGGAUCGGCUAACUCCGUGCCAGCAGCCGCGGUAAUACGGAGGAUCCAAGCGUUAUCCGGAUUUAUUGGGUUUAACGGGUGCGUAGACGGGUUGUUAAGUUAGUGGUGAAAUUGUUCGGCUCAACCGGAAAACUGCAACUAAUACUGGCAGCCUAGAGAAUAGUUGCGGUAGGCGGAAUGUGUGGUGUAGCGGUGAAAUGCUUAGAUAUCACACAGAACACCGAUUGCGAAGGCAGCUUACUAAUCUGCAACUGACAUUGAUGCUCGAAAGUGUGGGUAGCAAACAGGAUUAGAUACCCGAGUAGUC